Molecule: long non-coding RNA, 2386 nt
Filed under: Malus domestica (apple)
Lineage: Eukaryota; Viridiplantae; Streptophyta; Magnoliopsida; Rosales; Rosaceae
Description: long non-coding RNA (MDOM_LNC017376)
Source: RNAcentral
GUUGCAAUCACUAAAAUACAACACCAGAAGGUGAAUCCUACUUUUUCGGAUUCUGUUAGAACACCAUUGGAGUCCUCGUGGCCACCAAACUCUGUUGUCUAAGACCUGGAGGGGUGAAAAACAAAGUUGAGUGGGUCAGUAAAACACAUUUACACAAAAACCUUAUUUUCUUUUGAGUACACUAACCCCUCGCCGUAAAACAAGUAUAUGAUUACUUUCCCAGAAAAUAGAAUACAUAAAUAUGUAUAUAAAUAUAUCAUUUCAAAUCAUGCUUUACAUAUUCAUAAUCAUAUGUAUGUCAUGCCAAGAUAUAACAAGGUAAGCAAUUCAGGUAAGAAUAAAUUCAUAGAAAUAUAACAUAUUAGUUGAAACCCCUGUGAAAGUUUGUACGGCUGAAUUCAUAGCUCAAAAGUCAAUCUAGCCGAAGUCACUACAAUGACCUAUAUGGCAAUAUACUGCAUAUAAGUCGGAACCACUAAUAAAAAAGGUCUGUACGACAAGAUUGGGUGUAAUAUAAUUAUGCUCAAUUCUACUCUCUCAUAAUAGUUGGGCGAUAAAUCGCUAGUCACUUACGAGUCGGAACUAUAAAUAAGGUCUGUACAACAAGACUGUGCACUUAAAUUGGAUCCGAUAUUAGCAUAUAGUGCGGGGGCGACAUAAUAAAUAGACUUGUACUUCAUAUCUCUGGCUAAAUCACAAUCACCCUAGGUGUAGUUUUAUGAGCUCAACAUUAUUCAAUCACAUAUCACAUCAUCGAUGAUUCACAUAACCAAACACAACUUACCUGAGCUUCAGGGCGUCCACAACACCACAUUUAAAUAUAUAAAGCUUCACAUACCAAUUCAUGUACGAAAUAUAAAUUCAUAUGCAUGGCAUUUAAAUCGCAUUUCCUUUAAAUAUGUUUUCUGGGAAAAACGUCAAGUAUAUAUAUAUUGAAAAUAACUACCCACUUACAAAUAUGUCGAUGGGUCGUAGCCCCCGAGCCUCGAUUGAUUACGCUCGUCCUGAGAAUAGGCCUCACCUAUGAGCGAAACAACUAUAUAAACGUCACUUUAAUGCACAUAUACCAAACUAUGUAAUAACUUCUCAGACAUAGCUCAAAUUGGGUAUAUGAAUAUAACACAAUGACCUACACAACCUCAGGAUCAUCCCUAUAUUUUUAGAAUAUUUUUUCCGACCAUCCACGCGCUGCCACGCGUCGGCCAAGGCACGGCAAUAUGCACCGCCCACGUGCGGCCACAUGCCAGGCAUGCUGACGGCGUCAGUUAACGCCGUCAGGAAUAUUCCGUCAACUUCUAACUGUUACUGUUAAAUCUAACUAACGGUGUUGGAAUAUUCCAUCAGACUUGACGGAAUAUUCUGUCGUCUUCAACCUUGGGACUCCGACGACCGUCGUCGUCGUCGGAAAACUGGGGAUUUUUAGAACUUUGAUUUCUCACUCGUUUCUUCACCAUUUUCACGAAGUUCAUACCAAAAUGAAGCUCUUAACUUGUAGAACACAAUCAUACUAAUUUAAAGCUCUAAAAGUCAUGGGAUCUCACUGGAGAAUUCCAAGAAAAACUGGCCAAACUUCGUUCACACGAUCCCAACUUCUAAAACCUUCAAACGAAGCACUCCAAGCUUCUCACUAAGCUUCCUUCAAGCUUCAAAUUUCCAAAAACAUCCAUAAUUACGUGUGCAUGAAUAGUGCACAAAAUCGGGGGUUAUGAAAAACUAGGGUUUUCGAAGGUAUCUUUACCUAAAAUGGGUACCAAUCGACUCGUCUGAGCUUCACGAACACAAUGGUGCCAACUUUGACCACGAUCCGUGAAGUUUCAAGGGUUUUGGGUGCUUGUCCAUACGAGUUCGAAGGAGAGAGAGUGAAACCGAGAGAGAGUGUGUGCACGAGAGUGAGAGAGAGAAUGGAGGAGUGAUGUGUGGUCCAAAAUAGUGAACAACCCACAAUACACCAAACUCUAAUCCUAAUUGGUUCCAAACAAUUAGGAUUUAAGAAUAUGGGUCCAAAAACACAAUUAAACCAAUAAUACAACUCAAUGACCAUGGGUAAUUCUGACUUUUCACACUCCGAUAAAUAAUUUCUAGGACGAGUUGUCACACAAUAAGCAUUUUAUUUUCAAUUUUUAGUUUUAUGAAAUCUCAAAACUAAAGUAUUGUUUCAUAACUACUUUCAAUUUUUUGAAAAUUAAAAAUUAAAAACUAAAAGUACUUACCAAAUAAGAUUCAUAUUUAAAAAAUAAAAAAAAAUAAAAAAAAAUUAUCAAACAAUUCCGGAUGUUAAUAAUAGAAAAACAAACAAAUAAUCUUUAAAUCCCAAUGAAAUAAAAGAAGGGAACUUUAACGAAAAGAUUCUGGUACUAUUUACUUUAAAGAAAAAUGAUAUUUUUAC